GUGUCAGCAGCCGCGGUAAAACGUAGGUGGCGAACGUUAUCCGGAUUUACUGGGCGUAAAGCGUGCGCAGGCGGCUUCUCAAGUCGGAUGUAAAAUCUCCUGGCUCAACUGGGAGGGACCAUCCGAUACUGUUUGGCUAGAGUGCAACAGAGGAGAGUGGAAUUCCCGGUGUAAUGGUGGAAUGUGUAGAUAUCGGGAGGAACACCAGUGGCGAAAGCGGCUCUCUGGGUUGUUACUGACGCUGAUGCACGAAAGCGUGGGGAGCAAACAGGAUUAGAUACCCUGGUAGUCCACGCUGUAAACUAUGGACACUGGGUACAGGGAGUAUCGACCCUCUCUGUGCCGAAGCUAACGCGUUAAGUGUCCCGUCUGGGGACUACGGCCGCAAGGUUAAAACUCAAAUGAAUUGACGGGG
This 415-nucleotide ribosomal RNA is filed under the name uncultured prokaryote. RNAcentral describes it as "bacterial SSU rRNA". It matches the Rfam family "Bacterial small subunit ribosomal RNA", at positions 505 to 918 of the family's 1533-position model. The record is from RNAcentral.